UACGUAGGGGGCAAGCGUUGUCCGGAAUCAUUGGGCGUAAAGCGCGUGUAGGCGGUCCGGUAAGUCCGCUGUGAAAGUCGGGGGCUCAACCCUCGGAUGCCGGUGGAUACUGUCGGGCUUGAGUACGGAAGAGGCGAGUGGAAUUCCUGGUGUAGCGGUGAAAUGCGUAGAUAUCGAGAGGAACACCUGCGGCGAAGGCGGGUUGCUGGGCUGACACUGACGCUGAUUGUGCGAAAGCUAGGGGAGCGAACGGG
This 254-nucleotide ribosomal RNA is filed under the name uncultured bacterium. RNAcentral describes it as "partial 16S ribosomal RNA". It matches the Rfam family "Bacterial small subunit ribosomal RNA", at positions 524 to 776 of the family's 1533-position model. The record is from RNAcentral.